Molecule: long non-coding RNA, 395 nt
Filed under: Monodelphis domestica (gray short-tailed opossum)
Lineage: Eukaryota; Metazoa; Chordata; Mammalia; Didelphimorphia; Didelphidae
Description: lncRNA (ENSMODG00000047041.1)
Source: RNAcentral
ACCUGCUACAGCUGCCUCAAAGAAUAUUGGAACAAAUUGUUUUUAUAUGUCUGUUCUACCAGGGGAAGUCUUCACAUGUUUUCAAUAGGAAUCUCCCCUAAUUCACCUAUGAGUUUGAGGCUUGCCAAGAUGGUUUUCCUGAGUAUGGCUGCUGAGUAUACCUUGGAGUCACAGGGUCCUGGAUUAGAGAGACUCCAAUCAGUCAGCCAACUUUUGCAUUUCUCUCUCUUUUUUAGAAACUCCUAGGAAUAUUUCUCCCUCAUAAAACCUGGUUAAUUGAUAAAGGUUCUUCCUACGUAUGUGAUUCCCAUUACCUAUGAGGGUGUGGAGGGGUUGAGAGUCUUGUGGUGAGUAUUUUCAGCCAAUAUAAAAUAAAACAGAGAGGCAAAGCUCCA